UGCCAGCCGCCGCGGUAAUACGGAGGGUCCAAGCGUUAUCCGGAUUUAUUGGGUUUAAAGGGUUCGUAGGCGGAGAGAUAAGUCAGUGGUGAAAGCCUGUGGCUCAACCAUAGAAUUGCCAUUGAUACUGUCUCUCUUGAAUGCACAUGAAGUGGGCGGAAUGUGUCAUGUAGCGGUGAAAUGCUUAGAUAUGACACAGAACACCGAUUGCGAAGGCAGCUCACUAAAGUGUUAUUGACGCUGAGGAACGAAAGCGUGGGGAGCGAACAGGAUUAGAUA
This 279-nucleotide ribosomal RNA is filed under the name uncultured bacterium. Its description in RNAcentral is "partial 16S ribosomal RNA". It matches the Rfam family "Bacterial small subunit ribosomal RNA", at positions 506 to 784 of the family's 1533-position model. The record is from RNAcentral.